UACCUACGGGGGGCAGCAGUGGGGAAUAUUGCACAAUGGGGGGAACCCUGAUGCAGCGACGCCGCGUGGGUGAAGGAGUAUUUCGGUAUGUAAAGCCCUAUCAGCAGGGAAGAACAAUGACGGUACCUGACUAAGAAGCACCGGCUAAAUACGUGCCAGCAGCCGCGGUAAUACGUAUGGUGCAAGCGUUAUCCGGAUUUACUGGGUGUAAAGGGCGUGUAGGCGGGAAAGCAAGUCAGAUGUGAAAACCAUGGGCUCCACCUGUGGCCUGCAUUUGAAACUGUUUUUCUUGAGUACUGGAGAGG
Molecule: ribosomal RNA, 305 nt
Filed under: uncultured bacterium
Lineage: Bacteria
Description: bacterial SSU rRNA
Rfam family: Bacterial small subunit ribosomal RNA
Source: RNAcentral